Molecule: transfer RNA, 67 nt
Filed under: Urostylis flavoannulata
Lineage: Eukaryota; Metazoa; Arthropoda; Insecta; Hemiptera; Urostylididae
Description: tRNA-Phe
Source: RNAcentral
ACUAGAAUAUCUUAAGUUAAAAGUUUAACUUUGAAGAAGUUACGAUAGAAUAAAAUUCUUUCUAGUA